RNAcentral lists this ribosomal RNA (2722 nucleotides) under Salmonella enterica subsp. enterica serovar Enteritidis. RNAcentral describes it as "partial 23S ribosomal RNA". It matches the Rfam family "Bacterial large subunit ribosomal RNA". Lineage: Bacteria; Pseudomonadati; Pseudomonadota; Gammaproteobacteria; Enterobacterales; Enterobacteriaceae. The record is from RNAcentral.
UACUAAUCUGCGAUAAGCGCCGGUAAGGUGAUAUGAACCGUUAUAACCGGCGAUACCCGAAUGGGGAAACCCAGUGUGAUUCGUCACACUAUCAUUAACUGAAUCCAUAGGUUAAUGAGGCGAACCGGGGGAACUGAAACAUCUAAGUACCCCGAGGAAAAGAAAUCAACCGAGAUUCCCCCAGUAGCGGCGAGCGAACGGGGAGGAGCCCAGAGCCUGAAUCAGCAUGUGUGUUAGUGGAAGCGUCUGGAAAGGCGCGCGAUACAGGGUGACAGCCCCGUACACAAAAGCGCAUGUGCUGUGAGCUCGAUGAGUAGGGCGGGACACGUGGUAUCCUGUCUGAAUAUGGGGGGACCAUCCUCCAAGGCUAAAUACUCCUGACUGACCGAUAGUGAACCAGUACCGUGAGGGAAAGGCGAAAAGAACCCCGGCGAGGGGAGUGAAAAAGAACCUGAAACCGUGUACGUACAAGCAGUGGGAGCACAGGUUUACCUGUGUGACUGCGUACCUUUUGUAUAAUGGGUCAGCGACUUAUAUUCUGUAGCAAGGUUAACCGAAUAGGGGAGCCGGAGGGAAACCGAGUCUUAAUUGGGCGUUAAGUUGCAGGGUAUAGACCCGAAACCCGGUGAUCUAGCCAUGGGCAGGUUGAAGGUUGGGUAACACUAACUGGAGGACCGAACCGACUAAUGUUGAAAAAUUAGCGGAUGACCUGUGGCUGGGGGUGAAAGGCCAAUCAAACCGGGAGAUAGCUGGUUCUCCCCGAAAGCUAUUUAGGUAGCGCCUCGUGAAUUCAUCUCCGGGGGUAGAGCACUGUUUCGGCUAGGGGGCCAUCCCGGCUUACCAACCCGAUGCAAACUGCGAAUACCGGAGAAUGUUAUCACGGGAGACACACGGCGGGUGCUAACGUCCGUCGUGAAGAGGGAAACAACCCAGACCGCCAGCUAAGGUCCCAAAGUCAUGGUUAAGUGGGAAACGAUGUGGGAAGGCCCAGACAGCCAGGAUGUUGGCUUAGAAGCAGCCAUCAUUUAAAGAAAGCGUAAUAGCUCACUGGUCGAGUCGGCCUGCGCGGAAGAUGUAACGGGGCUAAACCAUGCACCGAAGCUGCGGCAGCGACACUGUGUGUUGUUGGGUAGGGGAGCGUUCUGUAAGCCUGUGAAGGUGUGUCGUGAGGCAUGCUGGAGGUAUCAGAAGUGCGAAUGCUGACAUAAGUAACGAUAAAGCGGGUGAAAAGCCCGCUCGCCGGAAGACCAAGGGUUCCUGUCCAACGUUAAUCGGGGCAGGGUGAGUCGACCCCUAAGGCGAGGCCGAAAGGCGUAGUCGAUGGGAAACGGGUUAAUAUUCCCGUACUUGGUGUUACUGCGAAGGGGGGACGGAGAAGGCUAUGUUGGCCGGGCGACGGUUGUCCCGGUUUAAGCGUGUAGGUGUGUGUUCCAGGUAAAUCCGGUUCACUUUAACACUGAGGCGUGACGACGAGGCACUACGGUGCUGAAGCAACAAAUGCCCUGCUUCCAGGAAAAGCCUCUAAGCAUCAGGUAACAUCAAAUCGUACCCCAAACCGACACAGGUGGUCAGGUAGAGAAUACCAAGGCGCUUGAGAGAACUCGGGUGAAGGAACUAGGCAAAAUGGUGCCGUAACUUCGGGAGAAGGCACGCUGACACGUAGGUGAAGUGAUUUACUCAUGGAGCUGAAGUCAGUCGAAGAUACCAGCUGGCUGCAACUGUUUAUUAAAAACACAGCACUGUGCAAACACGAAAGUGGACGUAUACGGUGUGACGCCUGCCCGGUGCCGGAAGGUUAAUUGAUGGGGUCAGCGCAAGCGAAGCUCCUGAUCGAAGCCCCGGUAAACGGCGGCCGUAACUAUAACGGUCCUAAGGUAGCGAAAUUCCUUGUCGGGUAAGUUCCGACCUGCACGAAUGGCGUAAUGAUGGCCAGGCUGUCUCCACCCGAGACUCAGUGAAAUUGAACUCGCUGUGAAGAUGCAGUGUACCCGCGGCAAGACGGAAAGACCCCGUGAACCUUUACUAUAGCUUGACACUGAACAUUGAGCCUUGAUGUGUAGGAUAGGUGGGAGGCUUUGAAGUGUGGACGCCAGUCUGCAUGGAGCCGACCUUGAAAUACCACCCUUUAAUGUUUGAUGUUCUAACGUGGACCCGUUACCCGGGUUGCGGACAGUGUCUGGUGGGUAGUUUGACUGGGGCGGUCUCCUCCUAAAGAGUAACGGAGGAGCACGAAGGUUGGCUAAUCCUGGUCGGACAUCAGGAGGUUAGUGCAAUGGCAUAAGCCAGCUUGACUGCGAGCGUGACGGCGCGAGCAGGUGCGAAAGCAGGUCAUAGUGAUCCGGUGGUUCUGAAUGGAAGGGCCAUCGCUCAACGGAUAAAAGGUACUCCGGGGAUAACAGGCUGAUACCGCCCAAGAGUUCAUAUCGACGGCGGUGUUUGGCACCUCGAUGUCGGCUCAUCACAUCCUGGGGCUGAAGUAGGUCCCAAGGGUAUGGCUGUUCGCCAUUUAAAGUGGUACGCGAGCUGGGUUUAGAACGUCGUGAGACAGUUCGGUCCCUAUCUGCCGUGGGCGCUGGAGAACUGAGGGGGGCUGCUCCUAGUACGAGAGGACCGGAGUGGACGCAUCACUGGUGUUCGGGUUGUCAUGCCAAUGGCACUGCCCGGUAGCUAAAUGCGGAAGAGAUAAGUGCUGAAAGCAUCUAAGCACGAAACUUGCCCCGAG